AUUGAACGCUGGCGGCAUGCUUUACACAUGCAAGUCGAACGGUAACAGGCCGCAAGGUGCUGACGAGUGGCGAACGGGUGAGUAAUGCAUCGGAACGUGCCCAGUCGUGGGGGAUAACUACUCGAAAGAGUAGCUAAUACCGCAUACGAUCUAUGGAUGAAAGCGGGGGACCGUAAGGCCUCGCGCGAUUGGAGCGGCCGAUGUCAGAUUAGGUAGUUGGUGGGGUAAAGGCUCACCAAGCCAACGGUCUGUAGCUGGUCUGAGAGGACGACCAGCCACACUGGGACUGAGACACGGCCCAGACUCCUACGGGAGGCAGCAGUGGGGAAUUUUGGACAAUGGGCGCAAGCCUGAUCCAGCAAUGCCGCGUGCAGGAAGAGGGCCUUCGGGUUGUAAACUGCUUUUGUACGGAACGAAACGGCUCUGGUUAAUACCCGGGGCUAAUGACGGUACCGUAAGAAUAAGCACCGGCUAACUACGUG
RNAcentral lists this ribosomal RNA (482 nucleotides) under uncultured bacterium. RNAcentral's name for it is "partial 16S ribosomal RNA". It matches the Rfam family "Bacterial small subunit ribosomal RNA", at positions 30 to 507 of the family's 1533-position model. The record is from RNAcentral.